AGUGGCGAAAGGGCGAGGAAUAAGUAACUAACGUGCCUUCAGGUGAGGGAUAGCUCAGGGAAACUUGUGGUAAUACCUCAUAAUCCCGUAGGGUCGUAUGGCCUGCCGGGCAAAGGCUUGCUGCCUGAAGAUCGGGUUACUUCCUAUCAGCUAGUUGGUGAGGUAACGGCUCACCAAGGCGAAGACGGGUAGCUGGUGUGAGAGCACGACCAGCCGCAUCGGGACUGAGACACUGCCCGGACUCCUACGGGAGGCUGCAGUAACGAAUAUUCCGCAAUGCGCGAAAGCGUGACGGAGCAAUGCCGCGUGUGGGAUGAAGCAUCUAGGUGUGUAAACCACUGUCAGGGUUUAGGAAAAAAAUGACCAGACCCAAAGGAAGAGCCGGCUAACUCUGUGCCAGCAGCCGCGGUAAUACAGAGGGCUCGAGCGUUAAUCGGAAUCACUGGGCUUAAAGGGUCCGCAGGCGGAUUGGAAAGUAUCUUGUGAAAUACCAUGGCUCAACCAUGGAAUUGCUCGGUAAACUCCCAAUCUUGAACACGGUAGGGGCCAUCGGAACUCUAGGUGGAGCGGUGAAAUGCGUAGAUAUCUAGAGGAACGCCAGAGGCGAAGGCGGAUGGCUGGGCCGUUGUUGACGCUCAGGGACGAAAGCGUGGGUAGCGAACGGGAUUAGAUACCCCGGUAGUCCACGCCCUAAACGAUGUGCACUAGA
This 709-nucleotide ribosomal RNA is filed under the name uncultured bacterium. Its description in RNAcentral is "bacterial SSU rRNA". It matches the Rfam family "Bacterial small subunit ribosomal RNA", at positions 94 to 820 of the family's 1533-position model. The record is from RNAcentral.